RNAcentral lists this ribosomal RNA (308 nucleotides) under uncultured bacterium. RNAcentral's name for it is "partial 16S ribosomal RNA". It matches the Rfam family "Bacterial small subunit ribosomal RNA", at positions 505 to 807 of the family's 1533-position model. The record is from RNAcentral.
GAGACAGCAGUCGCCAUGGGAAUACGAAAGGUGCAAGCGUUGCUCGGAAUUACUGGGCGUAAAGCGUGCGUAGGUGGUUCGUUAAGUCUGAUGUGAAAGCCCUGGGCUCAACCUGGGAAUUGCAUUGGAUACUGGCGAGCUAGAGUGCGGUAGAGGGUAGUGGAAUUCCCGGUGUAGCAGUGAAAUGCGUAGAGAUCGGGAGGAACAUCUGUGGCGAAGGCAGCCCCCUGGGCCAAUACUGACGCUCAUGCACGAAAGCGUGGGGAGCAAACAGGAUUAGAUACCCCUGUAGUCCCUGUCUCUUAUAC